RNAcentral lists this ribosomal RNA (464 nucleotides) under uncultured Bacteroidales bacterium. RNAcentral's name for it is "bacterial SSU rRNA". It matches the Rfam family "Bacterial small subunit ribosomal RNA", at positions 336 to 797 of the family's 1533-position model. The record is from RNAcentral. Lineage: Bacteria; Pseudomonadati; Bacteroidota; Bacteroidia; Bacteroidales.
UUCCUACGGGUGGCUGCAGUGAGGAAUAUUGGGCAAUGGGCGCAAGCCUGACCCAGCCAUGCCGCGUGAAGGAUGAAUGCCCUAUGGGUUGUAAACUUCUUUUGUACGGGACGAAACUUCCGGUCGUGACCGGGAUUGACUGUACCGUACGAAUAAGCAUCGGCUAACUCCGUGCCAGCAGCCGCGGUAAUACGGAGGAUGCAAGCGUUAUCCGGAUUCAUUGGGUUUAAAGGGUGCGUAGGCGGAAUAAUAAGUCAGUGGUGAAAGCCUGCGGCUUAACCGUAGAAUUGCCAUUGAUACUGUUGUUCUUGAGUAUAGUUGAGGUGGGCGGAAUGUGUAAUGUAGCGGUGAAAUGCUUAGAUAUUACACAGAACACCAAUUGCGAAGGCAGCUCACUAAGCUGUUACUGACGCUGAGGCACGAAAGCGUGGGGAGCAAACAGGAUUAGAUACCCCAGUAGUCUC